Molecule: ribosomal RNA, 433 nt
Filed under: uncultured bacterium
Lineage: Bacteria
Description: bacterial SSU rRNA
Rfam family: Bacterial small subunit ribosomal RNA
Source: RNAcentral
CAGUGAGGAAUAUUGGUCAAUGGGCGCAAGCCUGAACCAGCCAUCCCGCGUGCAGGAAGACGGCGCUAUGCGUUGUAAACUGCUUUUCCAGGGGAAGAAAACCUGAUACGUGUAUUGGCUUGCCGGUACCCUGGGAAUAAGCAUCGGCUAACUCCGUGCCAGCAGCCGCGGUAAUACGGAGGAUGCGAGCGUUAUCCGGAUUUAUUGGGUUUAAAGGGUGCGUAGGCGGAUUAAUAAGUCAGUGGUGAAAACCUUCAGCUUAACUGGAGAACUGCCAUUGAUACUGUUAGUCUUGAGUACGGUCAAGGUAGGCGGAAUGUGUAAUGUAGCGGUGAAAUGCUUAGAUAUUACACAGAACACCGAUUGCGAAGGCAGCUUACUGGGCCAUUACUGACGCUGAGGCACGAAAGCGUGGGGAGCGAACAGGAUUAGA